UCUAUGUGAAUUAAAUACUUAGUCUGGCCUGCCCACUGAAAGAGUUUUAAAGGGCUGCGGUAAUUUGACCGUGCAAAGGUAGCAUAAUCAUUAGUCUUUUAAUUGAAGGCUUGAAUGAAAGGUUUGACGGAGGAGAAGCUGUCUCGUUUAUUGAAAUUGAAUUUAACUUUUGUGUGAAAAGGCAUUAAUGGUUUAGAGGGACGAUAAGACCCUAUAAAACUUUACAUGUUGAUAUUGUUUAAUAAAAUAGUUUAAUUAAUUGUUAAAUGGUAAGUUGUGUUUUGCUGGGGCGGCAGGAAUAUAAUUCUAACUGUUUUAAGUAUAAAAUAUUUAUUAAUAGAGAGUGGUCCUUUAUUUAAGAGGUAAGAGUAAGUUACUUUAGGGAUAACAGCAUAAUUUUUUUUGAGAGUUCUUAUCGAAGAUAAUAGUUGUGACCUCGAUGUUGAAUUAAAUUUUCCUUUAGGUGCAGGAGCUUAAUAAGGGAGAGGCCUGUUCGGCCUAUAAAUAUUUACGUGAUCUGAGUUUCA
This 527-nucleotide ribosomal RNA is filed under the name Synalpheus ruetzleri. RNAcentral describes it as "partial 16S ribosomal RNA". It matches the Rfam family "Bacterial large subunit ribosomal RNA", at positions 1820 to 2614 of the family's 2925-position model. The record is from RNAcentral. Lineage: Eukaryota; Metazoa; Arthropoda; Malacostraca; Decapoda; Alpheidae.